CGCUGGCGGCAGGCCUAACCAUGCAAGUCGAACGGUAACAGGAAGCAGCUUGCUGCUUUGCUGACGAGUGGCGGACGGGUGAGUAAUGUCUGGGAAACUGCCUGAUGGAGGGGGAUAACUACUGGAAACGGUAGCUAAUACCGCAAGACGUCGCAAGACCAAAGAGGGGGACCUUCGGGCCUCUUGCCAUCGGAUGUGCCCAGAUGGGAUUAGCUAGUAGGUGGGGUAACGGCUCACCUAGGCGACGAUCCCUAGCUGGUCUGAGAGGAUGACCAGCCACACUGGAACUGAGACACGGUCCAGACUCCUACGGGAGGCAGCAGUGGGGAAUAUUGCACAAUGGGCGCAAGCCUGAUGCAGCCAUGCCGCGUGUAUGAAGAAGGCCUUCGGGUUGUAAAGUACUUUCAGCGGGGAGG
RNAcentral lists this ribosomal RNA (416 nucleotides) under Enterobacter hormaechei. RNAcentral's name for it is "bacterial SSU rRNA". It matches the Rfam family "Bacterial small subunit ribosomal RNA", at positions 34 to 447 of the family's 1533-position model. The record is from RNAcentral. Lineage: Bacteria; Pseudomonadati; Pseudomonadota; Gammaproteobacteria; Enterobacterales; Enterobacteriaceae.